Molecule: ribosomal RNA, 240 nt
Filed under: uncultured bacterium
Lineage: Bacteria
Description: partial small subunit ribosomal RNA
Rfam family: Bacterial small subunit ribosomal RNA
Source: RNAcentral
AGAAUCAACGCUGGCGGCGUGCCUAACACAUGCAAGUCGCACGAGAAAGGGACUUCGGUCCUGAGUAAAGUGGCGCACGGGUGAGUAACACGUGAAUAAUCUACCUCCGAGUGGGGAAUAACUGAGAGAAAUCUUAGCUAAUACCGCAUAAUACCCACGGGUCAAAGCAGCAAUGCGCUUGGAGAGGAGUUCGCGGCCGAUUAGCUAGUUGGCGGGGUAAUGGCCCACCAAGGCGAUGAU